Molecule: ribosomal RNA, 253 nt
Filed under: uncultured bacterium
Lineage: Bacteria
Description: partial 16S ribosomal RNA
Rfam family: Bacterial small subunit ribosomal RNA
Source: RNAcentral
UACGAAGGACCCAAGCGUUAUCCGGAUUUAUUGGGUUUAAAGGGUGCGUAGGCGGAUUAUUAAGUCAGUGGUGAAAGCCUGCAGCUUAACUGCAGAACUGCCAUUGAUACUGAUGAUCUUGAGUAUGAUUGAGGUGGGCGGAAUGUGUCAUGUAGCGGUGAAAUGCUUAGAUAUGACACAGAACACCGAUUGCGAAGGCAGCUCACUAAGCCAUAACUGACGCUGAUGCACGAAAGCGUGGGGAGCAAACAGG